This 270-nucleotide ribosomal RNA is filed under the name Triticum aestivum (bread wheat). RNAcentral describes it as "partial small subunit ribosomal RNA". Lineage: Eukaryota; Viridiplantae; Streptophyta; Magnoliopsida; Poales; Poaceae. The record is from RNAcentral.
CUGCCAAUUGCCAAGCUGUCCGAGAAGAUGUUGUGCCAGCGCAUGGGGAUCAUUGAUGAAGGGCAGCAAGUCAAUGAGGAGGCAAUAGACAAGUUUGUGGCCAUGUUCCAAGGCCAGCUGCCUGACAUCACGAUGUCAGCUCUCCGGGCUCUGUUCAACCUCGACUGCGACCUGGCGAACGCUGUUGAAGCUGCACUGCUCGAGCACGGUGGACAGGCAGGGACUAAGCUCCAGGGAACAAGCGUGGAUGUAGCCAGCGAGGCGGCGUGA